ACUAACAGUUUAGUAGCGAAACCACAUUCCUUCACCCAACGUGAACCUCUCCGCGCCCCGCUCGCUGCCAGGCGGCCUCCGAGGCCGAGGCCGGCUUGGGAAGGCUCCGGCACCCCCCCCAGCCGGCUCCCCUCACCCCGUGGGCCUCGCCGGCUUGUCGCGGGGGCCCUGGGGGAUAAAGGAGCCCCCGGGCGAGGUCGCUUCCCUCCGGCUCCGGCCCUGCCUUUUGCUCCCGGCUUUCCCCCGCCUGCCGGUGCCCCGCUGCCGGCCUGGGGAGCGCCCGCGGCACGGCGCUGCCUCCGCGGGGAGGGAAGGAGGCAAGGAUGCAAAGAGAUCCCCUUGUUGCUGCAUAAUCCAACAGUAAAUGGAAGAAACACUCUGGAGCUGUGGCACCCCGUGCAUCACCAGCCCCUGUGCACGGCACCAUCCGAGCAUCAGUGCCAGCUGAGCAUCCUGCCCUGGCUUUGCCUUCGGGAUUUGGGAGACCCAUCGAGGGGAAGCAAGGUGUGGGGAGAGCGAGGUAUUUCUUGGGGGGAUGGCCAAGAAGAGCCUGGAGGGCAGGGGAAGAUGCUGGUUGACCCCAGGCAGGUGUGAGGCCCUACCCGGAGUGGGGUGAUGCUGGGGGUUAAAGGAGCAGGGCGCAGAGGGCAGGCAGGGCCUUCACACAGCUCGCAGGAACCAGGGGGUGAAUUCCAGCACACCAGAGGGGGCUGGCAGGGCCUUGGGCUCAUGAAAGCUCACAGGGAGCUCGGUGCAGGAGUGAGGGCUGUGGAAGUGCUUGGGAAUCCCUGGAAUAAGGUUUUGGUGCCCGUAUUAUGAGAGCGCAAUGAAAGUGCUGUGUCAGUCUCUGGGCUGAAGGGCAGCCAUUGCCAUGGGACAUGCCAGGCAGCUCCUCAGCCUGCCUUCAACGCCUGUUACAAAGCACCUUUCCUGAGGGAGCCUUUGCACUGCACAGGCUAAACAAGAGUAAGAAGGUACUGCGUGGCAGGAUUCACUUUUUCAGGGAAAAUACGAGAAGCUCUUAAUUUCUGAUAUAGUGAUAAGAGGAGAUCAGGAGAUUCAAUUACAUGCAUGCUCACAGUGCUGGCUGAGCAACUUGCCAUCGGUGUAGAACGGGGAUGGGUGUUUUUACAGUGACUCAUUGAUUGUUCAUGUGGAAGCGAGUAAGUCAAGGGAGAUGGAAAUGCUUAAAGACAGGAAGACAUUACUAACAGUCCAAACUGCAACAGGCUGAUUGCUAACCACGUCUAACACUAACAGAGGCUGAGGCUGGCUCUAUCCAAACGGGAUAGUGAGCUCCUGUUCGGCUCUACCCCAGGUGUGAAUUCGGCAGACACGUGGACAAGGGCAUGAUGAGACACACGCCUGGGGGAUAAUUCUGCCUGGAAUGUUGUUUUGUGCAGUGUUGGAUUUACCUGUAUGUGGGAGCUAAAGUCUUGGAUUUUAUCUUAACUCCUUGCAAACUUUAAACUAGAGGGAAAAACAGUGCUUCCUGACAGGCCUGUGUUGAUGGAACAGCAAAAUCUUGUCACCUACAAUCUGUGGGUACCUUUUCUGUAAGAAGUGGUGAUGUGUGGGAUGCACUCUGGUCCCUGACUUCACACAGAACAUUUCCUAAAUGAACUUUGCAAUGCAGAUCUGUGUGUGUGGGUAAGGAUGAAUCCUUUCACAUGACCUCAAUGUCUGUAUACUUUCAGUGAGUCAGGAUUUGGAUUUUAUUUUUUCCCUGCCUUACAUUUCCUCCUUUCUUUUAUAACUAUGGUUUUGGAUCUUAGUAGCAUACUGCAAAAUUUGUAAGAGUAAUGAAAAAAGUUGUUUCUUUGUGGUGGUGAUGAUGAUUUUUUUUUUUUCCCAAUUACAGGAAAGAAUGAAAAAUGACUGGAGAGAAAACCUAGAUGAAUUUAAGAUUUUCAGAAAACAAUGUAGAAAUUCAUUGAAAACAUUUGCCCAAAGUCCCACUGCCCAUCAAUAAUUACAGAUCUGCUGUGCAUAUUUUCCGAAAGUAGUUGACCAUUUAAGUUGGUAUAUAUAACAGAUGAGAAGGAUCUGUGCAAAUCUGUGUAGGUUUGUGACAGCAGGGCAGACUCUUGGGGGGGAAGAGGGAAAUGGAAAGGAAACCAGAAACAGAGUGAAUCUUUUCGUGUGGUCUGACAGGCAGAUGGAAAGCAUGAAUUACAAAGGCUUUUAAAAAGAUCUGUUUGGGGUUUAUGUUUACAAGGAGACUUAACAAGACUGGCUGGCCUUAAAAUGCUGAGGUCUUUGCUAAAAUCAGAUGUUUGGAAGUGGAAUGGGUUACUAGCCCUGACCCAGAAUACAGAAGAGGUUCACAGAGAUUCAACAAGACAGGAGCAGGGGCAGUACACCCAUAAACCCUUCAUCAGAUUUGGAAAAGGGCUUAGAGGUCAGCAGGACGUGGAGUCGGGGAAGGGAGGAGGGCAUGGCCCUUGAUAAAUGGAGCUGGAUCCAGAGACCAGGAACUUCUGACUGAGAGCAGCCACGGCACCAGGAGAAGACACUGCCAGAACAAGCUUGGAUUUGUGCAGCAGGGACUGACUUUCUGAUGAAACAGAUUUAUAGGGAACAAAGGUAUCAAAAUAUCACCUCACUUUCUUGUAAGCGGGAUACGGGAUAUUGAUUUCUUCUCAUGGCCUGGGGAAGCCCGUGAUCUACUUGGGUAGAACCUAUGGAUUUCCCCAGUUUCCUAAAUCUCCUGCUUGAAAGGUUAGCCGUAGAUAUUUACAGCCAAAUGAAUGGAGCUAAUAGUGGAGAUUAUAAUUUAAAGAGCUUUUGCUUUGCAAGGGAAGACUCGGAUAUCUCACGCUGGUUAUGAGAAUUUAAUUAAAGACCUGUUCAAUAGGAGUAAAUGGCACAUGUUCAUGCACACAGAAGAUGAAAUAAAACUGCGGUGCUCAGUCUAGUGCA
Molecule: long non-coding RNA, 2922 nt
Filed under: Anas platyrhynchos platyrhynchos (common mallard)
Lineage: Eukaryota; Metazoa; Chordata; Aves; Anseriformes; Anatidae
Description: lncRNA (ENSAPLG00000017505.1)
Source: RNAcentral